Molecule: ribosomal RNA, 463 nt
Filed under: uncultured bacterium
Lineage: Bacteria
Description: partial 16S ribosomal RNA
Rfam family: Bacterial small subunit ribosomal RNA
Source: RNAcentral
GAUGAACGCUGACAGAAUGCUUAACACAUGCAAGUCUUUGGCGAAGCUGUGCUUGCACAGCCUAGCCAAGGCGGACGGGUGAGUAACGCGUAAGGAACUUGCCCUGCAGUCAGGGAUAACAGACGGAAACGACUGAUAAGACCUGGUAAAGUCAGGCGGACUCAUGUCCAGCCUGAUGAAAAGUGAUGCUGCAGGAGAGCCUUGCGUCCUAUUAGCUUGUUGGUGGGGUAACGGCCCACCAAGGCGAUGAUAGGUAGCCGGCCUGAGAGGGUGGACGGCCACAAGGGGACUGAGAUACGGCCCUUACUCCUACGGGAGGCGGCAGUGGGGAAUAUUGGACAAUGGGGGCAACCCUGAUCCAGCAAUUCUGUGUGCACGAUGAAGGUUUUCGGAUUGUAAAGUGCUUUCAGCAGGGAAGAAAAAAAUGACGGUACCUGCAGAAGAAGCGACGGCUAAAUACGUG